Molecule: ribosomal RNA, 460 nt
Filed under: uncultured bacterium
Lineage: Bacteria
Description: partial 16S ribosomal RNA
Rfam family: Bacterial small subunit ribosomal RNA
Source: RNAcentral
CCUACGGGAGGCAGCAGUGAGGAAUAUUGGUCAAUGGACGAGAGUCUGAACCAGCCAAGUAGCGUGAAGGAUGACUGCCCUAUGGGUUGUAAACUUCUUCUAUAUGGGAAUAAAACGUUCCACGUGUGGGAUUUUGUAUGUACCAUAUGAAUAAGGAUCGGCUAACUCCGUGCCAGCAGCCGCGGUAAUACGGAGGAUCCGAGCGUUAUCCGGAUUUAUUGGGUUUAAAGGGAGCGUAGGUGGAUUGUUAAGUCAGUUGUGAAAGUUUGCGGCUCAACCGUAAAAUUGCAGUUGAAACUGGCAGUCUUGAGUACAGUAGAGGUGGGCGGAAUUCGUGGUGUAGCGGUGAAAUGCUUAGAUAUCACGAAGAACUCCGAUUGCGAAGGCAGUUCACUGGACUGCAACUGACACUGAGGCUCGAAAGUGUGGGUAUCAAACAGGAUUAGAUACCCGAGUAGUC